RNAcentral lists this ribosomal RNA (1388 nucleotides) under metagenome. Its description in RNAcentral is "bacterial SSU rRNA". It matches the Rfam family "Bacterial small subunit ribosomal RNA". The record is from RNAcentral.
GUUAGUAACGCGUAGGAAUCUGCCUUUGUCUCGAGGAUAACCCGGAGAAAUCCGGAAUAAUACUCGAUAGUCUCGCAAGAGUAAAGGUUUCCGAUUUAUCGGAAUUCUGGACAAAGAGGAACCUGCGUCCUAUCAGCUUGUUGGUAAGGUAAUGGCUUACCAAGGCAAUGACGGGUAGGGGGAGUGAGAGCUUGACCCCCAACAAUGGGACUGAGAUACGGCCCAUACACCUACGGGUGGCAGCAGUCGAGAAUCUUCCACAAUGGGCGAAAGCCUGAUGGAGCGACACCGCGUGUUUGAAGAAACCCUUCGGGGCGUAAAGAACUUUUAUAAAGGAACAAUUUUGAUUUAUCAAUAUGAGUGUACUUUAUGAAUAAGGGGCGGCAAACUUCGUGCCAGAAGCCUCGGUAAUACGAAGGCCCCAAGCGUUAUCCGGAUUAACUGGGCGUAAAGCGUGUGUAGGCGGUUUUAAUAGUGGUUAGUUAAAUUUCAGGGCUCAACCCUGAAGCUGCUAAUCAAACGUUAAAACUAGAGCAAGUGAGAGGUUGAUGGAACUUACCAAGUAGGGGUGAAAUCCGUUGAUAUGGUAAGGAACACCAAAGGCGAAGGCAAUCAACUGGUACUUAGCUGACGCUGAGACACGAAAGCGUGGGGAGAGAAGAGGAUUAGAUACCCUCGUAUUCCACGCCGUAAACGAUGCCAACUAGCCGUUUGAAGUAUCGACCCUUCAAGUGGCGAAGCUAACGCGUUAAGUUGGCCGCCUGGGAAGUACGGUCGCAAGACUAAAACUCAAAGGAAUAGACGGGGACUUGCACAAGCGGUGGAUCAUGUGGUUUAAUUCGAUACUACGCGAGGAACCUUACCAGGGCUAGACAUCCUAAUGAACGGUCUCCGAAAGGAGAUUUUUCUUACAAGGACAUUAGGGUCAGGUGGUGCACGGUUGCCGUCAGCAUGUACUGUGAAGCGCCCCCUUAAAUGGGCUAACAUGCGCAACCCUCGUUCUGUGUUAUAAGUGUCACAGAAGACUGCCUCUGGAUAAGAGGAGGAAGGUGAGGAUGACGUCAAAUCAGCGUGUCCCUAGAUGUCCUGGGCUACACACAUGAUACAAUGGUUAGGACAAUGGGUUGCCAAACCGUAAGGUGGAGCCAAUCCCAUCAAACCUAAUCUCAGUUCGGAUUGAGGGCUGCAAUUCGCCCUCAUGAAGCUGGAAUCGCUAGUAAUCGCGAAUCAGCUACGUCGCGGUGAAUACGUUCCCAAGUCUUGUACUCACUGCCCGUCACAUUAGGGAAGCCGGUAAUACCCGAAGUUCCUUGUUUACAAGGACCAACGGUAAGAUCGGUAACCAGAAUGAAGUCGUAACAAGGCAUCCGUAGCGGAAGCUGUGGAUG